AUAUGCGAUACUUGGUGUGAAUUGCAGAAUUCAGUGAAUCAUCGAAUCUUUGAACGCACCUUGCGCUCCUUGGUAUUCCGAGGAGCAUGCCUGUUUGAGUGUCAUGAAAUUCUCAACCUACAAGCCUUUUCGGAGGUCCUUGUACGGCUUGGACUUGGAGGGUCAUUGUCGGCAGUGAUGUCGGCUCCUCUUAAACGCAUUAGCUAGUUCUCGCGGAACGGCUUUCGGUGUGAUAAUUGUCUACGCCGUGGUCGUGCCGGGUACAUGGACAAGCUUCUAAACCGUCACUCCUUGUGAGAGACACAUAUCUUGACAUCUGACCUCAAAUCAGGUAAGAGUCUACCCGCUGAACUUAAGCAUAUCAAUAAGCGGAGGAA
This 377-nucleotide ribosomal RNA is filed under the name Microporus sp. BAB-3935. RNAcentral's name for it is "eukaryotic LSU rRNA". The stretch from base 1 to 104 matches the Rfam family "5.8S ribosomal RNA", at positions 51 to 154 of the family's 154-position model. The record is from RNAcentral. Lineage: Eukaryota; Fungi; Basidiomycota; Agaricomycetes; Polyporales; Polyporaceae.